AACGAGCGCUGGCGGCGUGCCUAACACAUGCAAGUCGUGCGGGAAAGUAGGGGCAACUCUACAAGUACAGCGGCGCACGGGUGAGUAACACGUAGGUAACCUGCCUCGGAGACUGGGAUAACCUGUCGAAAGACGGGCUAAUACCGGAUACGACCACGGGAGUUGAGGCUUUCGUGGUGAAAGGUGGCCUCUGCUUACAAGCUACCAAUCUGAGAUGGGCCGUGCGCGCCAUUAGCUAGUUGGUGAGGUAACGGCCC
RNAcentral lists this ribosomal RNA (257 nucleotides) under uncultured bacterium. RNAcentral describes it as "partial 16S ribosomal RNA". It matches the Rfam family "Bacterial small subunit ribosomal RNA", at positions 29 to 266 of the family's 1533-position model. The record is from RNAcentral.